This 202-nucleotide ribosomal RNA is filed under the name Escherichia coli. RNAcentral's name for it is "partial 23S ribosomal RNA". It matches the Rfam family "Bacterial large subunit ribosomal RNA", at positions 2092 to 2294 of the family's 2925-position model. Lineage: Bacteria; Pseudomonadati; Pseudomonadota; Gammaproteobacteria; Enterobacterales; Enterobacteriaceae. The record is from RNAcentral.
CGUGAACCUUUACUAUAGCUUGACACUGAACAUUGAGCCUUGAUGUGUAGGAUAGGUGGGAGGCUUUGAAGUGUGGACGCCAGUCUGCAUGGAGCCGACUUGAAAUACCACCCUUUAAUGUUUGAUGUUCUAACGUUGGCCCGUAAUCCGGGUUGCGGACAGUGUCUGGUGGGUAGUUUGACUGGGGCGGUCUCCUCCUAAA